UACGUAGGGUGCAAGCGUUAAUCGGAAUUACUGGGCGUAAAGCGUGCGCAGGCGGUUAUGCAAGACAGAUGUGAAAUCCCCGGGCUCAACCUGGGAACUGCAUUUGUGACUGCAUGGCUAGAGUACGGUAGAGGGGGAUGGAAUUCCGCGUGUAGCAGUGAAAUGUGUAGAUAUGCGGAGGAACACCGAUGGCGAAGGCAGCCCCCUGGGCCAACACUGACGCUCAGGCACGAAAGCGUGGGGAGCAAACAGG
RNAcentral lists this ribosomal RNA (253 nucleotides) under uncultured bacterium. Its description in RNAcentral is "partial 16S ribosomal RNA". It matches the Rfam family "Bacterial small subunit ribosomal RNA", at positions 524 to 776 of the family's 1533-position model. The record is from RNAcentral.